Long non-coding RNA from Canis lupus familiaris (dog), 1037 nucleotides. RefSeq lists it as uncharacterized. NCBI's taxonomy places the organism in Eukaryota, Metazoa, Chordata, Mammalia, Carnivora, Canidae. The transcript is spliced from 2 exons. The record is from RefSeq and is a predicted model, not a curated record.
UGCAGCCAGAAGUGCUCAUUAGCUGCGGCUCUCUGCCAGCCUCCUCCUGGGAGGGACAUUGUCCUGCUUCCCGGCUCCUCACCAUCUGCGGACCCACCCCAGGGCCCAAGUGAGAAAGAGGACCUGCUGGGUGAGCACUUUCCUGGAUGCAGGAGAAGGCUGGGAGCCGCGCCCUGACAGAACCGGGAGCAGCAGGACAUGUCCGCGGGCGGGAAGCCACAGCAGAGCCAGGAGGACUGUCACUCUAGGAGAAGACUCGGUGCUUCAUCCUGGCCUACGUGGAGGAGCUCCCCUGUGCCAGAAAAGGUAAAACCAUCACGUGGAUCAUCCCACCCACACUCAGAGGAGAUGACAUCAUGUAAGGGUGAGAGUCCUGGAGUCACUGAGGUGGGACUUCCAGAGUGCGCUGUCCUUCCUCAGAGCCUCAUAAUGACGUGGUAACAAAUUCACUGGGCUGCCCUGGUGUUGCUGUGAUGUCCUCCCCCCUCCUGCUCCCGGAGACUCAGGCCACUGGCCCUGCUCACCUGCCCCUUGGCUUCUUUCAAUUUGUUCCCAAAGUCUCUGAGUUACUUUGGUGCCAGAAUGUCUUUUGGAAAAACACAUCAAGGACAGAACGUGAAAGGAAUGGUACAGAAAUAAAUAAAUGAAGUUCUAUAGAAGAGGGAGGGAGCAGUUGCCAGGCACUCCUCGCCCCUCCAGCAUCGCACCAAUGGUGGCGCUGCCUUUGCUGCCCACCAGUGACAUCCAUCAGAGACUCAGCAGUGCUUCGGACAUGCAUAUCCUGACGGCCUGGCGGUCUUACAAGUGUCAUGAAAGUGCACACGAAGGUUUGAACCUCCUGAUUCGCAUGAUUUUGUGGGAAUUUAUUGGUCCAUUGGAUGGUGAACCAUUUUCAGAGAUCAUGUCUGGUAGCUUCUGGGAAGAGGACCAGUAACUUAUUCUCAAGUGACAGUUUGGUUGGGCUUAGGACUUUUUGUUUUUUAAAGCUGUUUCACAUAAAAAAAAUAAAAUAAAAUAAAAACUUUUUUUGUAAAAAA